CGUGUAGGCGGUUUGGUAAGUCAGAUGUGAAAGCCCCGGGCUUAACCCGGGAAGUGCAUUUGAAACUGCCAUACUUGAGUAUGGGAGAGGAGAGUGGAAUUCCCAGUGUAGAGGUGAAAUUCGUAGAUAUUGGGAGGAACACCGGUGGCGAAGGCGACUCUCUGGACCAAUACUGACGCUGAGACGCGAAAGCGUGGGGAGCAAACAGGAUUAGAUACCCGAGUAGUCC
RNAcentral lists this ribosomal RNA (229 nucleotides) under uncultured bacterium. Its description in RNAcentral is "partial 16S ribosomal RNA". It matches the Rfam family "Bacterial small subunit ribosomal RNA", at positions 568 to 796 of the family's 1533-position model. The record is from RNAcentral.